Trachemys scripta elegans is the source of this 2331-nucleotide long non-coding RNA. RefSeq lists it as uncharacterized. The transcript has 3 exons. Lineage: Eukaryota; Metazoa; Chordata; Testudines; Emydidae. The record is from RefSeq and is a predicted model, not a curated record.
CCUUCCGGUCCUAGAAUCUAUGAAUCUAUGAAUAAACAAAGCAGAAACAGAACCAGAGCCAGUGUCCAAGUCCAGGCCAUUACCCCCUGCUGUGAAUCUCACAAUUGUUGGCUCACAGGAAAUCGGCAAAGCUUUUCAUCAAACUUCAUCUGCGAGGAUUUCCAAUCUAACACUCAUUUGGGCAAGGGACAAAUGGAAGACAGAUUUCAAAACACACUAUGGACAUUUUAACUGUCUGAUAUGCCAUUGGAGCUAACUAAUAGUCCCCUGACCUUGCAAUCCUUCAUCAGUGAUGUAUUUGGGGACAGUGUCAUCUAGUCAGGUGACAUACUCCUCUUUUUGGAAAACCCAGAGCAGUACACACACCUCAUCCGAACCUGGAGAUGUUUCGGCAGUGUGGUCUCAACACAGAAUUGGAAAAGCGUACCUCCAGCCAACUCUCCACAGAGUUUUUGGGGUACAUCCUCUCCCCAGAAGGUGUUCCGAUUGAUGCAAAUAAGGUGGAAGCCAUUCAUAAAUGGGACAAAGUUUGAAGUCCUCAAGAAGAGCAGCGCUUCCUAGACUUCACCAGCUUUACUGCUGCAUCGGCCCAGGGUUCUCAGAGCCAGUAACCCCCACGAGAGCUCUCCUCCACAAAAUGGCCGCAUUCGUUUGGUCAUCCAAGUUCCAUCAAGCCCGCAAACAGCCCAGAAUUGCCUUCACCACUGCAUCUAUUCUGACGCACAGCAUUCAUCGUGGAAGUAGACACAUCUACUUUGAGUACCAGGGCCUGCUUUAUUUGGUGUUGCCAGAUGUGGGCCGAAAUUCAGACUUAGCUUGACUCACGUGACUUCUGCGCUUUCACCAAGGCACCACGCACCUAACUUCUUGGCAUCUCAGGCCUCUGGAGACCCUGCUCCAUCCAUGGCAGCCAUUGCCAGGAAUUUCACUCAUUCAAAUGGCCACAUGAUGGAACUGACUCUCAUAGAUCACCUGACCAAGAUGGCGUGCUUCAUCCCUCUGUGCACGAGUACCUUCGGCUGAGAGGACAGAUCAGCUCCAAAUUUCCAAAGGCCAAUGACACCUUUGUUUUGCUAACUAUAGAUUUCCCACUGAUUUCAUGCCACACUACUAAUGGCCUCUCCGAACUUCCCAGUUAUUGACCUGGGUCAACAACUCCAUGAUAUUCAAGAAGAAUGAAGGGAGCCCCUCGAGGACACUAGGAAGGACUCAGAUAUUAUACAGACUGCUGAUGACAAGAGGGAAGCCAUUUGCUGAAGGGAGGUACCAAGUCCCUGGCACUGACCCAAUCCCUAUGCCCCGUCUGUUGGAGCAGUUCCUGACCCAUCCCCCUUGGCUGACCUUCUGAUCCCAUCCUCGUCCCCUGGCUCUGUGGAGCAAACUCUGGGUCCCUUCCCUCACUCUGGCACAAUCCGUGCCCAGAGGGACCAAGCCCCUCACAGACAGUGGGACUGUCCUUCCUCCUCCUGCUUGUGGGGGGGUCUACUACCUCCAUUUUACAGACAGGGAAUGAAGGUGAUGAAGUGACCUCUCCAAAGUCACACCUGGAAAUGUGGAGGAGAUCUGGGAACUGGACUGGGUUAUACAGGAGUGCCCUCCCAACAGAGGCAGCUUCACUUUCUGCCCUUCAUUCUCUCCUCCCCUCGUGGCCCGUCUUCGAUGGGGAUCUCUGAACUGGAAAUGAGCAGGGGCUUCCUCCCCCUCUGACUUCCAAUGUCUGGGAUCUGUCCCUAGCAACGCAGCCUGCAGCUGGCCAGCUUGGGGAGCCAUCGCCUCACCCUGUGAAAUCCAGACGUGCUGGCUCUCAGUGAUGCUUCGACGGAAAACCACGCACCCCACACAGAGCUUGGAACCAGCCAUUCCCAGGUUGUUCUGAGGAGCCAGGAUUCCUCCAGGAGCUGGGGAAGGGCACAGUGAGCAGUCUGUCAGAGGAUUCCAGCCGGCUGUUCCAAUCCAGGAUGAAAACUCUGCCACUGAAACCUCACAGCCCCUGUGCAGUGAAGUGCCACUUAAACCCGCUGUGAUGCACAGAGCUUGCCCUGGCUGUCCGCACAGGACUGAAUUUCACCCCUUCAGAGUGUAUUCUGAGGGCACCCCAUGCUUCAUAUGGGCAUUCUUGGGUGGGCAGAUUGCAUCAGACCUGCACCCGAAUAAAUAAUAGUGAAUGAAAUAUGCAGACACUAAAGUUCUGCAGCCAAAUUCUCAGAAACCUUCCUCCUGAAUGUAGGAUCAGGAUUUUGUUUCUAAUUGAUUUUUUUUUAAAGUGCUAAGCAGCUACUACACUGUAAUAAGAGGAAACAGAAGCAAAAACUGAAAGGAUGUUACUUAAAC